UUGAAGGAGGCAAAACGGGAGCUUUAUCACGGUUGUACCAAGUUUUCAAGGUUCUCCUUUGUGGUAAAGCUUCUUCACUUGAAGUCAUACCAUAGGAUCCCGAAUAGUGCAUUUACUAAAAUUUUGAAGCUAUUAGCUGAAGCAUUCCCUGAACCCAAUACGCUCCCAAAAUCAUAUAAGGAAGCAAAGAAUCUUCUAAAGGAAUUAGGCCUUGGGUAUGAGUCUAUACAUGUGUGCUUCAAUAAUUGCAUUCUGUUUAGAAAGCAAUAUGCCAAUCAUGACAACUGCCCAGUUUGUGGACUGUCAAGGUGGAAAGACCCUGCUAGAAAGAAGAUUCCACAGAAAGUGUUGAGCCAUUUUCCAUUGGUGCCUACACUAAAGAGGAUGUUUCUUUCCAAAAAAGGUGCAGAAGAAGCA
This 417-nucleotide ribosomal RNA is filed under the name Triticum aestivum (bread wheat). RNAcentral describes it as "partial small subunit ribosomal RNA". The record is from RNAcentral. Lineage: Eukaryota; Viridiplantae; Streptophyta; Magnoliopsida; Poales; Poaceae.